RNAcentral lists this ribosomal RNA (468 nucleotides) under uncultured bacterium. RNAcentral's name for it is "partial 16S ribosomal RNA". It matches the Rfam family "Bacterial small subunit ribosomal RNA", at positions 28 to 507 of the family's 1533-position model. The record is from RNAcentral.
GACGAACGCUGGCGGCGUGCUUAACACAUGCAAGUCGAACGGAAAGGCCCUGCUUUUGUGGGGUGCUCGAGUGGCGAACGGGUGAGUAACACGUGUGUAACCUGCCCUUGACUUUGGGAUAACUUCAGGAAACUGGGGCUAAUACCGGAUAGGCGCUCCUGCUGCAUGGUGGGGGUUGGAAAGUUUCGGCGGUUGGGGAUGGACUCGCGGCUUAUCAGCUUGUUGGUGGGGUAGUGGCUUACCAAGGCUUUGACGGGUAGCCGGCCUGAGAGGGUGACCGGCCACAUUGGGACUGAGAUACGGCCCAGACUCCUACGGGAGGCAGCAGUGGGGAAUAUUGCACAAUGGGCGGAAGCCUGAUGCAGCAACGCCGCGUGCGGGAUGACGGCCUUCGGGUUGUAAACCGCUUUCGCCUGUGACGAAGCGUGAGUGACGGUAAUGGGUAAAGAAGCACCGGCUAACUACGUG